RNAcentral lists this ribosomal RNA (754 nucleotides) under uncultured bacterium. Its description in RNAcentral is "bacterial SSU rRNA". It matches the Rfam family "Bacterial small subunit ribosomal RNA", at positions 28 to 771 of the family's 1533-position model. The record is from RNAcentral.
GAUGAACGCUAGCUACAGGCUUAACACAUGCAAGUCGAGGGGCAGCAUGGUUUUAGCUUGCUAAGACUGAUGGCGACCGGCGCACGGGUGAGUAACACGUAUCCAACCUGCCGUCUACUCUUGGACAGCCUUCUGAAAGGAAGAUUAAUACAAGAUGGCAUCAUGAGUCCACAUGUUCACAUGAUUAAAGGUAUUCCGGUAGACGAUGGGGAUGCGUUCCAUUAGAUAGUAGGCGGGGUAACGGCCCACCUAGUCUUCGAUGGAUAGGGGUUCUGAGAGGAAGGUCCCCCACAUUGGAACUGAGACACGGUCCAAACUCCUACGGGAGGCAGCAGUGAGGAAUAUUGGUCAAUGGGCGAGAGCCUGAACCAGCCAAGUAGCGUGAAGGAUGACUGCCCUAUGGGUUGUAAACUUCUUUUAUAAAGGAAUAAAGUCGGGUAUGGAUACCCGUUUGCAUGUACUUUAUGAAUAAGGAUCGGCUAACUCCGUGCCAGCAGCCGCGGUAAUACGGAGGAUCCGAGCGUUAUCCGGAUUUAUUGGGUUUAAAGGGAGCGUAGAUGGAUGUUUAAGUCAGUUGUGAAAGUUUGCGGCUCAACCGUAAAAUUGCAGUUGAUACUGGAUAUCUUGAGUGCAGUUGAGGCAGGCGGAAUUCGUGGUGUAGCGGUGAAAUGCUUAGAUAUCACGAAGAACUCCGAUUGCGAAGGCAGCCUGCUAAGCUGCAACUGACAUUGAGGCUCGAAAGUGUGGGUAUCAA